CACUGGCUUUAGGGGUGCUUCUGCAGGAAGCUGAGAUCAAACCCUUUGAACCUGAUCCGGGUAAUACCGGCGAAGGGAAAAGCAUGGCCCACCUG
This 95-nucleotide non-coding RNA is filed under the name Cnuella takakiae. RNAcentral's name for it is "TPP sequence". It matches the Rfam family "TPP riboswitch aptamer (THI element)". From Rfam's summary of the family: Vitamin B(1) in its active form thiamin pyrophosphate (TPP) is an essential coenzyme that is synthesised by coupling of pyrimidine and thiazole moieties in bacteria. The previously detected thiamin-regulatory element, thi box was extended, resulting in a new, highly conserved RNA secondary structure, the THI element, which is widely distributed in eubacteria and also occurs in some archaea. Analysis of operon structures identified a large number of new candidate thiamin-regulated genes, mostly transporters, in various prokaryotic organisms. Lineage: Bacteria; Pseudomonadati; Bacteroidota; Chitinophagia; Chitinophagales; Chitinophagaceae. The record is from Rfam by way of RNAcentral.